Molecule: ribosomal RNA, 433 nt
Filed under: uncultured bacterium
Lineage: Bacteria
Description: partial 16S ribosomal RNA
Rfam family: Bacterial small subunit ribosomal RNA
Source: RNAcentral
AACGAACGCUGGCGGCAUGCCUAACACAUGCAAGUCGAACGAGACCUUCGGGUCUAGUGGCGCACGGGUGCGUACCGCGUGGGAACCUGCCCUUAGGUUGGGAAUAACUCCCCGAAAGGGGUGCUAAUACCGGUUAAUGUCUUCGGACCAAAGAUUUAUCGCCUUUGGAUGGGCCCGCGUUGGAUUAGCUAGUUGGUAGGGUAAAAGCCUACCAAGGCGACGAUCCAUAGCUGGUCUGAGAGGAUGAUCAGCCACACUGGGACUGAGACACGGCCCAGACUCCUACGGGAGGCAGCAGUGGGGAAUAUUGGACAAUGGGCGAAAGCCUGAUCCAGCAAUGCCGCGUGAGUGAUGAAGGCCUUAGGGUUGUAAAGCUCUUUUACCCGGGAUGAUAAUGACAGUACCGGGAGAAUAAGCUCCGGCUAACUCCGUG